Molecule: ribosomal RNA, 141 nt
Filed under: uncultured eukaryote
Lineage: Eukaryota
Description: partial 18S ribosomal RNA
Rfam family: Eukaryotic small subunit ribosomal RNA
Source: RNAcentral
UGGUGGAGUGAUUUGUCUGGUUAAUUCCGUUAACGAACGAGACCUCGACCUGCUAAAUAGAUGGGUGAUACAAUACGUAUCGAACCUAGCUUCUUAGAGGGACUUUGGGUUAGUAGCCUAAGGAAGUUCGAGGCAAUAACA